CCUACGGGAGGCAGCAGUAGGGAAUAUUGCGCAAUGGGCGAAACCCUGACGCAGCAACGCCGCGUGAAUGAUGAAGGUUUUCGGAUUGUAAACUCCUUUUGUUAGAGAAGAUAAUGACGGUAUCUAACGAAUAAUCACCGGCUAACUCCGUGCCAGCAGCCGCGGUAAUACGGAGGGUGCAAGCGUUACUCGGAAUCACUGGGCGUAAAGAGCGCGUAGGCGGGAUGGGAAGUCAGAUGUGAAAUCCUAGGGCUUAACCAUAGAACGGCAUUUGAAACUGUGAGUCUAGAGUGUGGGAGAGGUAGGUGGAAUGCGGGGUGUAGGGGUGAAAUGCGUAGAGAUCAAGAGGAAUACUGAUUGCGAAGGCGGCCUGCUGGCACCUAACUGACGCUGAUGCGCGAAAGCGUGGGGAGCAAACAGGAUUAGAUACCCGGGUAGUC
This 440-nucleotide ribosomal RNA is filed under the name uncultured bacterium. Its description in RNAcentral is "partial 16S ribosomal RNA". It matches the Rfam family "Bacterial small subunit ribosomal RNA", at positions 338 to 795 of the family's 1533-position model. The record is from RNAcentral.